RNAcentral lists this ribosomal RNA (514 nucleotides) under uncultured bacterium. Its description in RNAcentral is "partial 16S ribosomal RNA". It matches the Rfam family "Bacterial small subunit ribosomal RNA", at positions 29 to 523 of the family's 1533-position model. The record is from RNAcentral.
AGCGAACGCUGGCGGCGUGCCUAACACAUACAAGUCGAACGUGAACGGAGCAAUCCUAGUAAAGUGGCGUACGGGUGAGUAACACGUAGGUAAUCUACCUUACAGUCUGGAAUAACCUGACGAAAGUCGGGCUAAUACUGGAUAGAGCGACGGAAGCCGUAACGGUUUUUUCGGGAAAGGGAGCUCGAUAAGAGCCUUCGCUGUAAGAUGAGCCUGCGUCUGACUAGUUAGUUGGUGGGGUAAUGGCCUACCAAGACGAUGAUCAGUAGCUGGUCUGAGAGGAUGAUCAGCCACACUGGAACUGAAACACGGUCCAGACUCCUACGGGAGGCAGCAGUGGGGAAUCUUGCGCAAUGGACGAAAGUCUGACGCAGCCACGCCGCGUGAGUGAAGAAGGCCUUCGGGUUGUAAAGCUCUGUCACCUGGGACGAAAACACUUACGGUUAAUAGCCGUAGGAAUUGACGGUACCAGGGGAGGAAGCACUGGCUAACUUCGUGCCAGCCGCCGCGGUAA